RNAcentral lists this ribosomal RNA (384 nucleotides) under Pristurus rupestris rupestris. RNAcentral's name for it is "partial 12S ribosomal RNA". It matches the Rfam family "Bacterial small subunit ribosomal RNA", at positions 796 to 1382 of the family's 1533-position model. Lineage: Eukaryota; Metazoa; Chordata; Lepidosauria; Squamata; Sphaerodactylidae. The record is from RNAcentral.
CUAGACGUAACUAUUGAUUGCACCUCAACCCGCAAUCCGCCAGAGGACUACAAGCGAAAAACUUAAAACUCAAAGGACUUGACGGUGUCCCACCCGUACUAGAGGAGCCUGUCCGAUAAUCGAUAACCCGCGCUUUACCUUACCCCCCCUAGAGACUCAGCCUAUAUACCGCCGUCGCCAGCCCAUCGCGCGUGAGUGAACCAUCGAGGACGCAAGAAUUAUAAACUAAAACGACAGGUCAAGGUGUAGCUAAUGGGGGGGACAGAGAUGAGCUACAUUUUCUUUACUAGAAAACACCAACCACAGGAUGAAACAUCCUGCCACCAGGCGGAUUUAGAAGUAAGCCUUGGCAAGACAGGCCAAUCUGAAUGUGCCCUGGGACGA